This is a long non-coding RNA of Pygocentrus nattereri (red-bellied piranha), 400 nucleotides long. RefSeq lists it as uncharacterized. The transcript is spliced from 2 exons. The record is from RefSeq and is a predicted model, not a curated record. Lineage: Eukaryota; Metazoa; Chordata; Actinopteri; Characiformes; Serrasalmidae.
CAAUUGAUGCUGGUUGAUUUACAGGUUUUGUAUAGCAUGUGAUAUGAAAUGUCAUAAACUGUCAGCCACAUCGCUUUUAUUUUAAAUAAUUGCAUCAAACUAAGCAUGACGUAAUGUGGCAAGAUGACUAGAGAACUGCUGGUGCAUAUCUUUCUGCUUUCUCGCUCUGGAUGCAUGUUGUACGAAUGAGCUGAGCAGUGACCAAUCAUGAGGCGCAGUAGCCAGUUGUCACACCCUGUGGUACAUUGAGCAGGAGGCGUAGCAGUUGUAACAUUGAGUGCCCAGCAGUUGUGGAGGGAACUGAAUUGGCUCACUAAUGACAGUACAGCAUUAACUUUGAAUGGUGUACGGCUACUGCAGGACCUGAGAACAUGAAUAAAAAUAAUUCAUUUUAAAUUGA